This 484-nucleotide ribosomal RNA is filed under the name uncultured bacterium. Its description in RNAcentral is "partial 16S ribosomal RNA". It matches the Rfam family "Bacterial small subunit ribosomal RNA", at positions 30 to 507 of the family's 1533-position model. The record is from RNAcentral.
AUUGAACGCUGGCGGCAGGCCUAACACAUGCAAGUCGAGCGGAUGAAGGGAGCUUGCUCCUGGAUUCAGCGGCGGACGGGUGAGUAAUGCCUAGGAAUCUGCCUGGUAGUGGGGGAUAACGUCCGCAAACGGGCGCUAAUACCGCAUACGUCCUGCGGGAGCAAGUGGGGGAUCUUCGGACCUCACGCUAUCAGAUGAGCCUAGGUCGGAUUAGCUAGUUGGUGGGGUAAAGGCCUACCAAGGCGACGAUCCGUAACUGGUCUGAGAGGAUGAUCAGUCACACUGGAACUGAGACGCGGUCCAGACUCCUACGGGAGGCAGCAGUGUGGAAUAUUGGACAGUGGGCGGAAGCCUGAUCCAGCCAUGCCGCGUGUGUGAAGAAGGUCUUCGGAUUGUGAAGCACUUUAAGUUGGGGGGAAGGGCAGUAAGUUAACACCUUGCUUUUUUGACGUUACCAACAGAAUAAGCACCGGCUAACUUCGUG